AGGACGAACGCUGGCGGCGUGCUUAACACAUGCAAGUCGAACGAGGUCCAUCCGGUAGCAAUACCGGUGAAGAUCUAGUGGCGAACGGGUGAGUAACACGUGAGCAACCUGCCCCGAAGACUGGGAUAACAGCGGGAAACCGCUGCUAAUACCGGAUGUCCCCACCGGGCCGCAUGACACGGUGAGGAAAUGGAUUCCGCUUCGGGAGGGGCUCGCGGCCUAUCAGCUUGUUGGCGGGGUAACGGCCCACCAAGGCAACGACGGGUAGCUGGUCUGAGAGGACGAUCAGCCACACUGGGACUGAGACACGGCCCAGACUCCUACGGGAGGCAGCAGUGGGGAAUCUUGCGCAAUGGGCGAAAGCCUGACGCAGCAACGCCGCGUGAGGGAUGAAGGCCUUCGGGUUGUAAACCGUCUUUCAAGCAGGGACGAUUGUGACGGUACCUGCAGAAGAAGCUCCGGCCAACUACGCGCCAGCAGCCGCGGU
Molecule: ribosomal RNA, 487 nt
Filed under: uncultured bacterium
Lineage: Bacteria
Description: SSU rRNA
Rfam family: Bacterial small subunit ribosomal RNA
Source: RNAcentral